Non-coding RNA from Prunus mume (Japanese apricot), 230 nucleotides. The record is from RefSeq and is a predicted model, not a curated record. Lineage: Eukaryota; Viridiplantae; Streptophyta; Magnoliopsida; Rosales; Rosaceae.
UUUAGAUAGCUGCUGUUAUCCUGCUUUUGUGUACCUGUUUUUGCAAGUGCUUGAUAGUUUCUCGCAUUACAGAUAGCUGAUGUUAUCCUGCUUUUGUGUACCUGUUUUUGCAAGUGCUUGAUAGUUAUCUCGCAUUACAGUCAUUAAUUUGUUGCUUUAGGGGUUUUAAAUUUCUAUGCAUAAUGGCCAAGAGGACUAGAAAUAGCAGACAAAAUCAGAUGAUACAUGAA